RNAcentral lists this transfer RNA (76 nucleotides) under Capsulimonadaceae bacterium. RNAcentral describes it as "tRNA-Arg". It matches the Rfam family "tRNA". From Rfam's summary of the family: Transfer RNA (tRNA) molecules are approximately 80 nucleotides in length. Their secondary structure includes four short double-helical elements and three loops (D, anti-codon, and T loops). Lineage: Bacteria; Bacillati; Armatimonadota; Armatimonadia; Capsulimonadales; Capsulimonadaceae. The record is from RNAcentral.
GCACCCGUAGCUCAGUGGAUAGAGCAUCUGUCUUCGGAACAGAGGGCCGGCAGUUCGAAUCUGUCCGGGUGCACCA